GAUGAACGCUGGCGGCGUGCCUAAUACAUGCGAGUCGAGCGAACAGAUGAGGAGCUUGCUCCUCUGACGUUAGCGGCGGACGGGUGAGUAACACGUGGAUAACCUACCUAUAAGACUGGGAUAACUUCGGGAAACCGGAGCUAAUACCGGAUAAUAUAUUGAACCGCAUGGUUCAAUAGUGAAAGACGGUUUUGCUGUCACUUAUAGAUGGAUCCGCGCCGCAUUAGCUAGUUGGUAAGGUAACGGCUUACCAAGGCAACGAUGCGUAGCCGACCUGAGAGGGUGAUCGGCCACACUGGAACUGAGACACGGUCCAGACUCCUACGGGAGGCAGCAGUAGGGAAUCUUCCGCAAUGGGCGAAAGCCUGACGGAGCAACGCCGCGUGAGUGAUGAAGGUCUUCGGAUCGUAAAACUCUGUUAUUAGGGAAGAACAAAUGUGUAAGUAACUAUGCACGUCUUGACGGUACCUAAUCAGAAAGCCACGGCUAACUACGUG
RNAcentral lists this ribosomal RNA (497 nucleotides) under uncultured bacterium. RNAcentral describes it as "partial 16S ribosomal RNA". It matches the Rfam family "Bacterial small subunit ribosomal RNA", at positions 28 to 507 of the family's 1533-position model. The record is from RNAcentral.